GCCUAUGGCCAAACCACCCUGAACGUGCCUGAUCCCGUCUGAUCUUGGAAGCUAAGCAGGGUCGGGCCUAGUUAGUACUUGGAUGGGAGAAGUAUAAGGUCGAGUCAGAAGUGCCCUGGGCU
This 122-nucleotide ribosomal RNA is filed under the name Propithecus coquereli (Coquerel's sifaka). Lineage: Eukaryota; Metazoa; Chordata; Mammalia; Primates; Indriidae. The record is from RNAcentral.